RNAcentral lists this ribosomal RNA (422 nucleotides) under uncultured bacterium. RNAcentral's name for it is "bacterial SSU rRNA". It matches the Rfam family "Bacterial small subunit ribosomal RNA", at positions 362 to 776 of the family's 1533-position model. The record is from RNAcentral.
UCUUCGGCAAUGGACGAAAGUCUGACCGAGCAACGCCGCGUGUGUGAAGAAGGUUUUCGGAUCGUAAAACUCUGUUGUUAGCGAAGAAUGUUGAUUAGAGUGGAAAAUUAAUCAAGUUACGGUAUCUAACCAGAAAGGGACGGCUAACUACGUGCCAGCAGCCGCGGUAAUACGUAGGUCCCGAGCGUUGUCCGGAUUUCUUGGGCGUAAAGCGAGCGCAGGUGGUUUAAUAAGUCUGAUGUAAAAGGCAGUGGCUCAACCAUUGUGUGCAUUGGAAACUGUUAGACUUAAGUGCAGUAGAGGAGAGUGGAAUUCCAUGUGUAGCGGUGAAACGCGUAGAUAUAUAGAGGAACACCGGUGGCGAAAGCGGCUCUCUGGACUGUCACUGACACUGAGGCUCGAAAGCGUGGGUAGCAAACAGG